AUGGGUGAUUUUGUUGGAUAAGGAAUAACCAUUGGAUGAAAUAAGAUCUCUUCUAUAACUCUAAUUAGCACAUUUUGUACUAACGAAAAACAAACCCAAGAGUUGAAGAAGAAUCAGAGUUCAGAAUCCAUGGCAGGUGCUAUAGUAAAGUACGGAAUCAUAGGAGUAGGAAUGAUGGGUAGAGAGCAUCUUGUGAAUUUGUACCAUCUUCGCACCCAAGGCGUGGCAGUUGUUGCUAUUGCUGACCCUCAUCUUCCCUCUCAACAACUCGCUCUUGACUUAGCACACUCCUUUACUUGGCCUCUCAAGGUUUUCUCAGGUCACCAGGAGCUGUUGGACAGUGGACUAUGUGAUGUUUUGGUGGUAUCCACUCCUAACAUGACCCAUCAUAGGAUUCUUAUGGACAUUAUCAAUCAUUCCAAACCCCAUCAUGUACUGGUAGAGAAGCCCUUGUGCACCACAAUCUCACACUGCAAAGAGGUUGUCAAUGCUGCUAGAAAGAGACCUGAUAUAUUGGUACAAGUUGGACUGGAAUAUAGAUACAUGCCACCUGUUGCAAAGCUGAUAGAAAUAGUUAAGGGAGGAAACCUUGGACAUGUCAAAAUGGUAGCAAUUCGGGAGCAUCGGUUUCCUUUUCUGGUUAAGGUGAACAAUUGGAACCGGUUCAAUAUUAACUCAGGGGGCACUCUGGUAGAGAAGUGUUGCCACUUCUUUGAUCUGAUGAGACUGUUUGUUGGUGCAAAUCCUGUUCGUGUGAUGGCUUCUGGAGCUAUUGAUGUUAAUCACAAGGAUGAAGUAUAUGAUGGAAAGGUGCCAGAUAUCAUUGACAAUGCAUAUGUUAUAGUUGAAUUUGACAAUGGUUCUCGAGGAAUGCUUGACCUUUGUAUGUUUGCUGAAGGGAGUAAAAAUGAGCAAGAAAUAUCUGUUGUCGGUGAUAUUGGAAAGGGAGAAGCCUUUGUUCCUGAGAGUGUUGUGCAGUUUGGUACCCGAGAGGCGGGGCGAGAUGGUGUCCAGACUUUGAAAGCUGAGGAUCACAGGAUAAAAUAUGAUGGGUUACACCAUGGGUCUAGCUAUCUGGAACACCUUAACUUCUUGUCUGCAAUCAGAGCAAAAGGAGAAAAGGCUCCUAGUGUAGAUCUCCAAGAUGGAUUAAUAUCUGUUGCUAUGGGAGUUGCAGCACAGCUCUCUAUAGAAUAUGGUCGAUUUGUUUCUAUUCAGGAAGUUAUGAAUGAGUGCAAAAUUUGAGUGUUGCAACUUGGAAGUGAGAGUAAUGGUUGUCUCUGCUGUUAUGUGUUCUUUGACAAAGGGAUGCUGUAUUGUUGCUAUCACUGCCUCAAGAAAAAGUGCAAAAUGAUUUGUGAAAUUUACAUUUCUUCCACCUAAACUUUAGUCAAUUGGUAACUUUAGCUCCUAUGUUUUCUGCAACUCAUUUUCUGUAAACUGAAACAGUGGAAUGUUAGGAAUCAGAGCUGAAAAUUUUAGCCAAAUACACGAGCUAGAAUCUUUUCUUGGGAA
RNA transcript from Glycine soja, 1515 nucleotides. It is a transcript of the gene named inositol 2-dehydrogenase 2, with no coding region annotated. The transcript has 8 exons. Lineage: Eukaryota; Viridiplantae; Streptophyta; Magnoliopsida; Fabales; Fabaceae. The record is from RefSeq and is a predicted model, not a curated record.